This 207-nucleotide long non-coding RNA is filed under the name Capsicum annuum. RNAcentral describes it as "long non-coding RNA (CANN_LNC001592)". Lineage: Eukaryota; Viridiplantae; Streptophyta; Magnoliopsida; Solanales; Solanaceae. The record is from RNAcentral.
GCGGGACUGAAAAGCAUAUAAUCUAUUCAAACGCUAACCACUGGUAGCACUGGAAGAGGCACCCUAUUGAGUCGGACGAUCGGAUGGAACUGAUGGCUGAUGGGACUGGCUAUGUUGGCGCACAUCCCUACCUUUCUGAGCAACUACCCGACACUCUUAAAUUUGAUGGCUUGGCUUUCCACACCUGAAGCAUAUAUCACUGCCCGC